RNAcentral lists this ribosomal RNA (1242 nucleotides) under metagenome. RNAcentral's name for it is "bacterial LSU rRNA". It matches the Rfam family "Bacterial large subunit ribosomal RNA", at positions 1658 to 2925 of the family's 2925-position model. The record is from RNAcentral.
UACAGGUGGGUGAGUAGAAUAUACUAAGGCGCAAGAGUGAAACCUGGUUAAGGAACUCGGCAAUCUAGCCCCGUAACUUCGGAAGAAGGGGUCCCUGCCUCGGCAGGGCGCAGUGAAACGGCCCAACCGACUGUUUAGCAAAAACACAGCAUUCUGCGAAGACGUAAGUCGAAGUAUAGGAUGUGACACGUGACCAAUGCCGAAAGAUUAAGGCAAGGUGUUAGCCCAUGAGGCGAAGCUCUGAACCCAAGUCCCGGUGAAUGUCGGCCGUAACAAUAACGGUCCUAAGGUAGCGAAAUUCCUUGUCGGGUAAGUUCCGACCUGCACGAAUCGUGCAACGAGUUGGGCGCUGUCUCAACCAGGAGCUCAGUGAAAUUGUAGUGGCGGUGAAGAUGCCGCCUACCCGCAGAAGGACGGAAAGACCCUAUGGACCUAAACUGUAAGCAGUCACUGUUUUUUCGAUUCCAAUGCUCAGCGUAAGUGGGAGACUGUGAAGAUGCCCUCCAGGGGGCGUCAGAGUCGUCAAUGAGACACCACCCUUUGCUGUUGGAAGAUCUAACCUGCUGCCUUGAAUCAGGCGCAGGGACCAUGGCUGCCGGUCAGUUUUACUGGGGCGGUAUCCUCCCAAAGAGUAACGGAGGAGCACGAAGUUAGGCUCAGCGCGGUCGGUAAUCGCGUGUCGAGUGCAUAGGCAUAAGCCUGACUAACUGCGAGACGUACAUGUCGAGCAGAUACGAAAGUAGGUCUAAGUGAUCCGGUGGUAGAACAUGGAAUUGCCAUCGCUCAACGGACAAAAGGUACCCUAGGGAUAACGGGCUGAUCGCGCCCAAGAGUUCAUAUCGACGGCGCGGUUUGGCACCUCGAUGUCGGCUCGUCACAUCCUGGGGCUGAAGAAGGUCCCAAGGGUUCGGCUGUUCGCCGAUUAAAGUGGCACGCGAGCUGGGUUCAGAACGUCGCGAGACAGUUCGGUCCUCUAUCCUCUGCGGGCGUAGGAAAAUUGAGGGGUUCAAACUCUAGUACGAGAGGACCGAGUUUGACGCACCUCUGGUGUUCCUGUUGUCGCGUCAGCGGCACGGCAGGGCAGCUAAGUGCGGAAGAGAUAAGCGCUGAAAGCAUCUAAGCGCCAAGCUCCUCCCAAGAUGAAUUUUCCCUGAAGGAUCGUGGAAGACUACCACGUUGAUAGGCUGCGGGUGUAAGUGCAGCAAUGUAUUCAGCUUAGCAGUACUAAUAAUCCGUUCGACU